This 389-nucleotide ribosomal RNA is filed under the name uncultured bacterium. RNAcentral describes it as "bacterial SSU rRNA". It matches the Rfam family "Bacterial small subunit ribosomal RNA", at positions 28 to 417 of the family's 1533-position model. The record is from RNAcentral.
GACGAACGCUGGCGGCGUGCUUAACACAUGCAAGUCGAGCGGUAAGGCCCUUUCGGGGGUACGACGAGCGGCGAACGGGUGAGUAACACGUGGGUGACCUGCCCUCAGCUCUGGGAUAAGCCUGGGAAACCGGGUCUAAUACUGGAUAUGACUCCAUGACGCAUGUUGUGGGGUGGAAAGCCUUGUGCGGCUGAGGAUGGGCCCGCGGCCUAUCAGCUUGUUGGUGGGGUGANGGCCUACCAAGGCGACGACGGGUAGCCGGCCUGAGAGGACGACCAGCCACACUGGGACUGAGACACGGCCCAGACUCCUACGGGAGGCAGCAGUGGGGAAUUUUGGACAAUGGGGGCAACCCUGAUCCAGCCAUGCCGCGUGCGGGAAGAAGGCCU